UGGGCAACCUGCCCCUGGCUCUGGGAUAACUCCGGGAAACCGGAGCUAAUACCGGAUACGAGACCGAUUGGCAUCUAUACGGUCUGGAAAGUUUUUCGGCCAGGGAUGGGCUCGCGGCCUAUCAGCUUGUUGGUGGGGUAAUGGCCCACCAAGGCGACGACGGGUAGCCGGCCUGAGAGGGCGAUCGGCCACACUGGGACUGGGACACGGCCCAGACUCCUACGGAAGGCA
RNAcentral lists this ribosomal RNA (231 nucleotides) under uncultured bacterium. RNAcentral describes it as "partial 16S ribosomal RNA". It matches the Rfam family "Bacterial small subunit ribosomal RNA", at positions 118 to 350 of the family's 1533-position model. The record is from RNAcentral.